RNAcentral lists this ribosomal RNA (144 nucleotides) under Thyatira batis. Its description in RNAcentral is "partial large subunit ribosomal RNA". Lineage: Eukaryota; Metazoa; Arthropoda; Insecta; Lepidoptera; Drepanidae. The record is from RNAcentral.
UUUUAUAAAUUAUUUUAUUAAAAUUGUUUAUUAAUUUUAAAUUAAAAUAGGAUUAUUUAUUUUAUUGGGGUGAUAAAAAAAUAUAAUUAACUUUUUGAUUUAAUUAACAUAGAUAAAUGAAUUUAUGAUCCAGUAUUAUUGAUU